Long non-coding RNA from Camelus dromedarius (Arabian camel), 4223 nucleotides. RefSeq lists it as uncharacterized. The record is from RefSeq and is a predicted model, not a curated record. The transcript is spliced from 4 exons. Lineage: Eukaryota; Metazoa; Chordata; Mammalia; Artiodactyla; Camelidae.
CACGGCGGCUGGGCGAGGGGCCUAUUUGGCUGUGACGCUCAGCCCAGGUUUCUAUCGUCCUAUCCCCGAGGGUUUAUCUGAGACCUAAAAUGGCGGCGUUUGCAUAGGGUGCAAAUACUGCAGGCAUACGAGAUGUGGAAAGGCGGCCAAAGGACGAAUCUUCUAAGGAAAGUCCAGGAACUCCAAUAUUUGUGUUGUGAUUUUUAAAAACAUUAAACAGCAUAGGUACAGUUGAAGCCCCCUUUGUAUCUCUUCGUCACAUGCCACAAAAAAGGAAAAGCUGAUCCUAAAAGAGAUUUUUGCCAAGACCAUUCAGUUAUGAAAGAAGAGUCUCAACAGAUGGUUCUUUGACAACUGGAGAUCAACUUACAAAAGAAUGUGAUUGGACUUUUAACUCAUAAUUGUUACAGAAAUUAACUCAAUCUUUCAAAAGCUAAAUGUACAAGCUAAUACUGUAAAAAUCAUAAUAGUAAAAUGUAUAGUAAAAUCUUCCUGAUCUUUAAUUUGGCAACUGAUUCCUAUAUAUGACACUGAAAGUAAAAUCAUCAAAAGAAAUAACAGAUUACAGUAUAUCUUGUUUUAUUGCUCAAUAGAUUACAGUAUAUCUUGUUUUAUUGCUCUUGGUUUUAUUGUACUUUGGAGAUAAUUGUGUUUUUUACAAAUUGAAGAUUUGUAGCAACCUUGCAUCCAGCAAAAGUAUUGACAUUUUUCUAACAGCGUUUGCUCACUUUGUGUCUCUGCUAUAUUUUGGUAAUUCUUGAAAUAUUUCAGAAUUUUUCAUCAUUAUAUUUGUUAUGGUGACGUGUGAUCAGUGAUCUUUCAUGUUACUAUUGUAAUUGUUUUAGGGAGGCACAUACCAUGUCCAUAGAAGACAGUGAACUUCAUCGCAUUUGUGUUCCGACUGCUCCACUGACUGGACGUUUUCCUCUCUCCCUCUCCUCAGGCCUCUGUAUUCCCUGAGAAACAACAAUAAUGUUACUAGGCCAGUGAAUAUCCCUAAAGUGGCCUCUUAAGUGUUCAUGUGAAAGGAAGACUUGCACAUCUCUCUCUAAAUAAAAAGCUAAUAAUGAUGAAGCUUAGUGAGGAAGGCAUGUUGAAAGCCUACAUAAGCCAAAAGCUAGGCCUUUUGUGGCAUUUAUCCAAAUUGUGAAUGCAAAGGAAAAGUUCUUGAUGUAAAUGAAAAGUGUUAUUCCAGUGAGCACAUAAAUGAUAAGAAAGCAAAAUAGCCUUAUUGCUGAUACUGAGAAUGUUUUAGCAGUCUGCAUAAAAGAUCAAACCAGCCUCAAAAAUCUCCUUAAGCCAAAGCCUAAUCCAUAGCAAAGCCCUAGCCUUCUUCAAUUCUGUGAAGGCUAAGGGAGGUGAGGAAGCUGCAGAAAAAAAGUUUGAAGGUAGCAGAAGUUGGUUCAUGAGGUUUAAGGAAAGAAGCCAUCUCCAUAACAUAGAAGUACAAAGUGAAGCGGUAAAUGCCGAUGUAUAAGUUGCAGCACGUUAUCAGAAGAGCUAGCUAAGAUCAUUAAUGAAUGUGGCCACACUAAACAACAGAUCUUUGAUAUAGAAAAAACAGCCUUCUAUUGGAAGAAGAUGCAUCUAGGACAUUCAUAGCUACAGGGGAGAAAUCAAUUCCUGUCUUCAGAGGACAGGUUGACUCUCUUGUCAUGCUAAUGCAGCUGGUAACUUUUGAGUUCAAGCCAAUUCUCAUUUAUCAUUCUAAAAAUCCUAGGGUUAGACUGGGAUUUCAAAAUUGUAGAAUAGAUAAACAAGAUUAUACUGUAUAGCACAGGGAAAUAUAUAUAAGAUCUUAUGGUAGCUCACAGAGAAAAAACUGACAAUGAAUAUAUAUAUGUUCAUGUAUAAAUGAAAAAUUGUGCUCUACACUGGAAUUUGACACAACAUUGUAAAAUGAUUAUAAAUCAAUAAAAAACAUUAAAUAAAAUAAAAUAAAAAUCCUAGGGUUUUUAAGAAUUUUGCUAAUUGUACUCUGCUGUGCUCCACAAAUGGAGCAACAAAGCCUGGAUGAGAACACAGCUGUUUACAGUGUGGUUUACUGAAUAUUUUCAGCCAACUGUUGACACCCACUGCUCAGCAAAAAAAUAUUCCUUUCAAAAUAUUGCUGCUCACUGACAAUGCACCUGGUCACUUAAGAGCUCUGAUGGAGAUGUACAAUGACAUAAUGUUUUUAAUGCCUGCUAACAUAUCAUCCAUUCAGCAUCUGGUGGGUUAAGGAGAAAUUUUGAUUUUCAUUUCUUAUUAUUUAAGAAAUACAUUUUGUAAGGCAGUACCUGCCAUACUAAGUAGUGAUUCUUUUGAUGUGGUGGGCAAAGUAAAUUGAAAACCUUCUGGAAUAGAUUUAUCAUUCUAGAUGACAUUAAGAAUGUUUGUGAUUCAUGAAAAGAGGUCAGAGUAUCAACAAUAACAGUAGUUUGGGAGAUGUUGAUUCCAACCCUCAUGGAUGACUUUGAGAGGUUCAAGACUUCAGUGGAAGAGAUAACUCCAAAGGUGGUGAAAAUAGAAAGAGAAGUAGAGUUAGGAGUGGAGCCUGAAUCUGUGACUGAAUUCCUGCAAUCUCAUGAGAAAACCUUAAUGGAUGAGGAGUUGCUUCUUACUGAUGAACUAAGAACGUGGUUUCUUGAGAUGGAAUCUACUCCUGUUAAAGAUGCUUUGAAUAUUGUUGAAAUAACAAGAAAGGAUUAAGAAUAUUACAUAAACUUCAUUAAUAAAGCAGUGGCAGGGUUUGAGAGGAUUGACUCCAAUUUUGAAGUUCUGCUGUGGAUAAAAUGAUGCCAAAUGGCAUUGCAUGCUACAGAGAAAUUGUUCAUGAAAGGAAGAGUCAAUUGAUAUGACAAACUUCAUUGCUGUUUGACUUUAAGAAAUUGCCACAGCCACCCCAGCCUUUAGCAACCACUACCCUCAUCAGUCAGCAGCCAUUAAUAUCAAGGCAGAAAAGUAACUACUCACUGAAGUUUCAGGUGAUGGUUAGCAUUUUAUAGUAUUUUUUAGUUAAGGUACAUACAUUGGUUUUUUUAAAGGCAUAAUGCUAUUGCACAGUUAAUAGACUACAGUGUAGUGUAAAUAUAACUUUUAUCUUCACUAGGAAACAAAAUUCAUGUGACUCACUUUAUUGUGAUAUUCACUUUAUUGUGGUGGUCUGGACCCAUACCCUCAUUAUUUCCGAGGUAUACCUGUAAUUGGGCUUUAUCUACCUUACAAAUAUGUGCACCAUAGGGACACUCUUAGGAAAGUGAAAAGACAGCUCACAGAAUAGGAGAAAAUACUUCAAAAUUAUAUAUUUGAGAAGGUACUGGUGUGAAGAAUAUAUAAAGAACACUUCCAACUAAGAAACAGAAGGAAAAUACAAUUUAGAAAUGCACCAAAACAUGAUUUCUCAAAAGUUAAUAUACCAGUAACCAGAAGUACGUAAAAAGAAUUUUAAUAUUUUUUGAGAAAUUUAAUUCAAAAUAACUAUGAGAUAUCACUUCACACUAUGGAUAUAAAAUAAAAAAUAGAAAAUAAUAAAUGUUGGCAAGGAUAUGGAGAAGUUGGAAUUUUUGUUGUUGUUAUGAGGGAUGUCAAAUGGUGAGACUACUGUGAAAAACAGUAUGGUGGUGGUUCCUCAAAAAUUUAAAUAUAGAAUUUGUAUGAUCCACCAAUUCCACACCAGGGUAUAUUCCUAAGUUAAAGUAAUACUAACAUUCAAAUAAAAAUUUUAUAUGGAAAUAUAUAUAGCCACAUGAUUUGCUGUGGUCAGAGUAGAAUCUACUCAGAUAUCCAUGAGGUAAUGAAUGGGUGAAGAAAGUGGUAUAAUCUUAUUCAUCCAUAAAUAGGAAUGAAUUACAGGUACACGGUAUGACAUAGAUGUUCCUCUUAUUCAUUGUGCUAAGUGAAAGAAACCAGACACAUAAUGGCCUUAUUCCACACAUGAAAUGUGAAGAAGAAGUAAAUCCAUGGAGGCAAAGCAGAUUAGUGGUUGUCAGUGACUAGGGAGGGUAUGGGGAGUGGAGAAUGACUGCUUUAUCAGUCUUGGGUUCUCUGUUACGUUAUUAAAAUGCAGAUUUUGACCAUAGUGAUGAUUGCACAAAGUUGUGAAUGUACUUACAGCCCCUGAAUUGUACUAUUUAAAAUUAUUAAAAUGGUGGAUUUUAUCUGUUGUUCUACCUCAUUAAAAAAAAAAAAAUAAAGGAAUUGAUCACCUUACAAAAAGCAGGUGGUGGGAGAUAUAGCUCCCA